RNAcentral lists this non-coding RNA (71 nucleotides) under Picochlorum sp. RCC944. Lineage: Eukaryota; Viridiplantae; Chlorophyta; Trebouxiophyceae. The record is from RNAcentral.
AAGAAGAAGAGGAAGAAGAAGAAGACGGGAAAAAAUAUGAACACUCUGUUUCUGUUUCUGUUUUUUUUUUU